This 465-nucleotide ribosomal RNA is filed under the name uncultured bacterium. RNAcentral's name for it is "bacterial SSU rRNA". It matches the Rfam family "Bacterial small subunit ribosomal RNA", at positions 917 to 1382 of the family's 1533-position model. The record is from RNAcentral.
GGGCCCGCACAAGCGGUGGAGCAUGUGGUUCAAUUCGACGCAACGCGAAGAACCUUACCUGGGCUAGACAACGGUGGACCGUCCUAGAAAUAGGAUUUUCCCUUCGGGGACUGCCGGUUCAGGUGCUGCAUGGCUGUCGUCAGCUCGUGCCGUGAGGUGUUGGGUUAAGUCCCGCAACGAGCGCAACCCUCGCCCUUAGUUGCCACCAUUCAGUUGGGCACUCUAAGGGGACUGCCGGCGUUAAGCCGGAGGAAGGUGGGGACGACGUCAAGUCAUCAUGGCCCUUAUGUCCAGGGCCACACACGUGCUACAAUGGGCGGUACAAAGGGUCGCUAACCUGCGAGGGGGAGCCAAUCCCAAAAAGCCGCUCUCAGUUCGGAUUGGAGUCUGCAACUCGACUCCAUGAAGUUGGAAUCGCUAGUAAUCGCGGAUCAGAACGCCGCGGUGAAUACGUUCCCGGGCCUU